CAGUGUUGGAGAGGCAAAGGCAGG
RNAcentral lists this non-coding RNA (24 nucleotides) under Cricetulus griseus (Chinese hamster). The record is from RNAcentral. Lineage: Eukaryota; Metazoa; Chordata; Mammalia; Rodentia; Cricetidae.